GAUGAACGCUGGCGGCGUGCCUAAUACAUGCAAGUCGAGCGAACGGACGAGAAGCUUGCUUCUCUGAUGUUAGCGGCGGACGGGUGAGUAACACGUGGAUAACCUACCUAUAAGACUGGGAUAACUUCGGGAAACCGGAGCUAAUACCGGAUGAUAUUUUGAACCGCAUGGUUGAAAAGUGAAAGACGGUCUUGCUGUCACUUAUAGAUGGAUCCGCGCUGCAUUAGCUAGUUGGUAAGGUAACGGCCUACCAAGGCAACGAUGCAUAGCCGACCUGAGAGGGGGAUCGGCCACACUAGAGCUGGGACACGGUCCAGGCUCCUACGGGAGGCAGCAGUAGGGAAUCUUCCGCAGUGGGCGAAAGCCUGACGGAGCAACGCCGCGUGAGUGAUGAAAGUCUUCGGAUCGUAAAACUCUGUUAUUAGGGAAGAACAGAUGUGUAAGUAACUGUGCACAUCUUGACGGUACCUAAUCAGAAAGCCACGGCUAACUACGUG
RNAcentral lists this ribosomal RNA (497 nucleotides) under uncultured bacterium. RNAcentral's name for it is "partial 16S ribosomal RNA". It matches the Rfam family "Bacterial small subunit ribosomal RNA", at positions 28 to 507 of the family's 1533-position model. The record is from RNAcentral.